Molecule: ribosomal RNA, 519 nt
Filed under: Macropharyngodon kuiteri (black leopard wrasse)
Lineage: Eukaryota; Metazoa; Chordata; Actinopteri; Labriformes; Labridae
Description: partial 12S ribosomal RNA
Rfam family: Bacterial small subunit ribosomal RNA
Source: RNAcentral
GGGAUUAGAUACCCCACUAUGCCUAGCCCUAAACAUCGAUACUAACCUACUUAUUUUAUCCGCCAGGGUACUACGAGCACCAGCUUAAAACCCAAAGGACUUGGCGGUGCUUUAGAUCCACCUAGAGGAGCCUGUUCUAGAACCGAUAAUCCCCGUUAAACCUCACCUUUCCUUGCCCUAUCCGCCUAUAUACCGCCGUCGUCAGCUUACUCUGUGAGGAGCUUGUAGUAAGCACAAUCGGCACAGCCCAAAACGUCAGGUCGAGGUGUAGCGAAUGGAAAGGGAAGAAAUGGGYUACAUUCAAUAUAAAUAAUGAAUACGGAUGAUGUUUUGAAAAAGACAUCUGAAGGAGGAUUUAGCAGUAAGCAGGGAAUAGAGUGCCCUGCUGAAAUUGGCCCUGAAGCGCGUACACACCGCCCGUCACUCUCCCCGAGCUAAUAAAAGCACAUUACUAAUAAACAAAACCUGCAAAGGGGAGGCAAGUCGUAACAUGGUAAGCGUACCGGAAGGUGCGCUUGG